RNAcentral lists this ribosomal RNA (300 nucleotides) under uncultured Colwelliaceae bacterium. RNAcentral describes it as "bacterial SSU rRNA". It matches the Rfam family "Bacterial small subunit ribosomal RNA", at positions 115 to 413 of the family's 1533-position model. Lineage: Bacteria; Pseudomonadati; Pseudomonadota; Gammaproteobacteria; Alteromonadales; Colwelliaceae. The record is from RNAcentral.
GCUUGGGAAUAUGCCUUGAGGUGGGGACGAACAGUUGGAAACGACUGCUAAUACCGCAUAAUGUCUACGGACCAAAGGAAGGGGAGUCUUCGGACCUUUCGCCUUUAGUAUUAGCCCAAGUGAGAUUAGCUAGAUGGUGGGGUAAGUGGCCUACCAUGGCGACGAUCUCUAGCUGGUUUGAGAGGAUGAUCAGCCACACUGGGACUGAGACACGGCCCAGACUCCUACGGGAGGCAGCAGUGGGGAAGUAUUGCACAAUGGGCGAAAGCCUGAUGCAGCCAUGCCGCGUGUGUGAAGAAG